AACGGUCAUAUCACGUUGAAACACCGGUCCUCGUACGAUAACCGAAGUUAAGCAACGUCGAACCUGGUCUAUACCUAGAUUGGGUGACCGCUUGGGAAUACCUAGUAG
Molecule: non-coding RNA, 108 nt
Organism: Acanthosepion pharaonis
Lineage: Eukaryota; Metazoa; Mollusca; Cephalopoda; Sepiida; Sepiidae
Source: the annotation of a GenBank genome assembly